This 495-nucleotide ribosomal RNA is filed under the name uncultured bacterium. Its description in RNAcentral is "bacterial SSU rRNA". It matches the Rfam family "Bacterial small subunit ribosomal RNA", at positions 15 to 507 of the family's 1533-position model. The record is from RNAcentral.
GAUCAUGGCUCAGAUUGAACGCUGGCGGCAUGCCUUACACAUGCAAGUCGAACGGUAACAGGUCUUCGGAUGCUGACGAGUGGCGAACGGGUGAGUAAUACAUCGGAACGUGCCCGAUCGUGGGGGAUAACGAAGCGAAAGCUUUGCUAAUACCGCAUAAGAUCUACGGAUGAAAGCAGGGGACCGCAAGGCCUUGCGCGAACGGAGCGGCCGAUGGCAGAUUAGGUAGUUGGUGGGAUAAAAGCUUACCAAGCCGACGAUCUGUAGCUGGUCUGAGAGGACGACCAGCCACACUGGGACUGAGACACGGCCCAGACUCCUACGGGAGGCAGCAGUGGGGAAUUUUGGACAAUGGGCGAAAGCCUGAUCCAGCCAUGCCGCGUGCAGGAUGAAGGCCUUCGGGUUGUAAACUGCUUUUGUACGGAACGAAAAGACUCUGGUUAAUACCUGGGGUCCAUGACGGUACCGUAAGAAUAAGCACCGGCUAACUACGUG